Molecule: unclassified non-coding RNA, 608 nt
Filed under: Hevea brasiliensis (rubber tree)
Lineage: Eukaryota; Viridiplantae; Streptophyta; Magnoliopsida; Malpighiales; Euphorbiaceae
Source: RNAcentral
GGUUGCUCCUUUCCCAUUUAUAGAUUAGUGUGUAUAUACCUUCUUUUGGGUUUUAUUUGCAUAUUUGUAAUGCCAAAUGUGAUAGUUUCUUGUUUUGGAUAUGAGUUGUGGAGUGUAGGCUUGUGUGUGAUGUGUAGGUUUGGUUCUGCUAGGAUGGUGGUUCCUUUGGGUUAGUAGCAAAAGGGUGGUAUCUCUAGGGAAUGAGAUGCCGUGACCUUUACCAUACUUCUUCUCUAGAGUCAUCGAUGAUAUAUCCAAGUUCAACUUUCUUGAGGUUUUUGACGAUGGCUUAGAGUGAAGGGCUUCAAUUUUGGCAUUGGUUAUGCUUUACUCAAUCAAGCAUAGGUCCGGUUGAAGGGGGCCUCUUUUGUCUUCACUCUUCUUAGCAAUCACUAUAGUAUUAUUGGGAGUUGGAGUAGCUCAGUGUGGUAUGGGUGGCUUCAUGUUGUGCAAAGGAGCAGUCCAUGUCGAGUUAUCAAAUAUACAGGUCGAAUGACCAGCCUGUCUUAGCCUCCAGGGCUUGUUGUUGUCUUGAGCCCCUGGGCUUUGAAUUUUGGGUUGCUGGGCUUUGUAUUUUGAAUUUAUCCCUUUAAUUUUUUUAGCCUUGG